CAUAUUUUAGAGCCCAAAUCAUAUCUAAAAAAUUAUAAAUAUUACUUACAAAUCCACCUUCAUUUCAAAUAUUAAUUUAAAAAUUCAUUUAAAUAAUUCUAUUGUAACCCAUUUCCACUUAUCUAUAAACUGCACCUUGAUCUGAACUCAACAAUCCUUAUUAAUAUGAAUAUUAAUUUCUUAUAAAAUAUCCAACUACGACGAUAUACAAGCUACAAAAAUAAGUUCAAUUUAACGUGGAUUAUCGAUUAAGGAACAGGUUCCUCUGAAAAGACUAAAACACCGCCAAAUUUUUAAAUUUUCAAGAAAAUAACUAAUACUAAUUCAAUCACAAAUUUACAUUUAA
RNAcentral lists this ribosomal RNA (346 nucleotides) under Psalitrus sp. KS-2013. RNAcentral's name for it is "partial 12S ribosomal RNA". Lineage: Eukaryota; Metazoa; Arthropoda; Insecta; Coleoptera; Hydrophilidae. The record is from RNAcentral.